RNAcentral lists this ribosomal RNA (491 nucleotides) under uncultured archaeon. RNAcentral describes it as "bacterial SSU rRNA". It matches the Rfam family "Archaeal small subunit ribosomal RNA", at positions 95 to 588 of the family's 1478-position model. The record is from RNAcentral.
AACACGUGGAUAAUCUGCCCUAAGGUGGAGGAUACCCUCGGGAAACUGAGAAUAAUACUCCAUAAGUCUAGGAUGCUGGGAUGCACUUAGGCUGAAAACUCCGGUGCCUUAGGAUGAGUCUGCGGACUAUCAGGUUGUAGUCAGGGUAAUGACCUGACUAGCCUACGACGGAUACGGGUUGUGGGAGCAAUAACCCGGAGAUGAUAUCUGAGACACGAUAUCAGGCCCUACGGGGCGCAGCAGGCGCGAAAACUUCACACUGCGCGAAAGCGCGAUGAGGGAAUCCCAAGUGCUUGCACGUAAGUGUAAGCUGUUUUUAUGUCUAAAACGCAUAUAGAGUAAGGGCUGGGUAAGACGGGUGCCAACCGCCGCGGUAAUACCUGCAGCUCAAGUGGUGGCCGCUAUUAUUGGGCCUAAAACGUCCGUAGCCGGUUUAGUAAAUGCCUGGGUAAAUCGUAUAGCUUAACUAUACGAAUCCCGGGUAGACUGCU